This 520-nucleotide ribosomal RNA is filed under the name uncultured Glomus. RNAcentral describes it as "SSU rRNA". It matches the Rfam family "Eukaryotic small subunit ribosomal RNA", at positions 569 to 1090 of the family's 1831-position model. The record is from RNAcentral. Lineage: Eukaryota; Fungi; Glomeromycota; Glomeromycetes; Glomerales; Glomeraceae.
AGCAGCCGCGGUAAUUCCAGCUCCAAUAGCGUAUAUUAAAGUUGUUGCAGUUAAAAAGCUCGUAGUUGAAUUUCGGGGUUAGUAGGUUGGUCGUGCCUUUGGUAUGUACUGGUCUCACUGAUUCCUCCUUCUUGAAGAACUGUAAUGUCAUUAAUUUGGUGUUGCAGGGAAACAGGACUGUUACUUUGAAAAAAUUAGAGUAGUUUAAAGCAGGCUAACGCCUGAAUACAUUAGCAUGGAAUAAUGAAAUAGGACGUUUGAUCCUAUUUUGUUGGUUUCUAGGAUUGGCGUAAUGAUUAAUAGGGAUAGUUGGGGGCAUUAGUAUUCAAUUGUCAGAGGUGAAAUUCUUGGAUUUAUUGAAGACUGACUACUGCGAAAGCAUUUGCCAAGGAUGUUUUCAUUAAUCAAGAACGAAAGUUAGGGGAUCGAAGACGAUCAGAUACCGUCGUAGUCUUAACCAUAAACUAUGCCGACUAGGGAUCGGAUGAUGUUAAUUUUUAAUGACUCAUUCGGCGCCUUA